RNAcentral lists this long non-coding RNA (348 nucleotides) under Cottoperca gobio. RNAcentral's name for it is "lncRNA (ENSCGOG00000001153.1)". The record is from RNAcentral. Lineage: Eukaryota; Metazoa; Chordata; Actinopteri; Perciformes; Bovichtidae.
ACUCAGUUGUGGUUGAACUGUUUACUAUGAGAGUAUGACAGUGCACGGUCAAUGCAGUCUCUCUAACUGCUAAUAUUGGACAUGUUGAUUGAUCUUUCUCCCAGCGCCAGCAGAUGUUUCCUGAUGGGAGUACUAGUGAUCUAAAGCUGGAGGUGGCCCUUCAAUCAUCGACAAGUCAAAAUGCAUCCAUGUUCAUCACAAGCAACCAAGGCGCCGACACCCGCCAGUGCAUCGGUGCGGGAGGAACAUUCAAUCCCUUCAACAUGACAUCAAUGGUGAGACCGGCCUGUCUCUGCUUUAACUUCUGCGCUUCUUCUCUUGAUUCUGAAAGCUCUGGAAGGCUGAUAC